RNAcentral lists this unclassified non-coding RNA (204 nucleotides) under Hevea brasiliensis (rubber tree). The record is from RNAcentral. Lineage: Eukaryota; Viridiplantae; Streptophyta; Magnoliopsida; Malpighiales; Euphorbiaceae.
UGAUGUAUCUUUUUAACUUAAAUUUUCUUAAUUUAUCGAUACAGAUUCAAGCUCUAAUGUCUGCAUAGAGGAUUCAUUCAUUUCUACUGGAGAUGACCUUGUAGCUGUGAAAAGUGGGUGGGAUGAAUAUGGGAUUGCUUAUGGUCGCCCAAGCUCUGGCAUCACAAUCCGAAGGGUAACAGGAUCAUCUCCUUUUGCUGGAAU